Paramuricea clavata is the source of this 586-nucleotide non-coding RNA. NCBI's taxonomy places the organism in Eukaryota, Metazoa, Cnidaria, Anthozoa, Malacalcyonacea, Plexauridae. The record is from the annotation of a GenBank genome assembly.
GGGGGAACCUAAGAUUUUUCCAGAUGAAAAAAAAGAUUUAAAGUGACAAGUUAAAUUAAAAUAAGACAUUUUAUAAAAAUUUGUCUAGUAGUUUUUGCUUGUCCGCGAAAGUUUGAAUGCCGAUAAUUUUAGAACUAGGCCUCUCUUCUCUGCAGAGGCUUUUGUUGGCUAUGAUUACGAUGAGUAGUAUUGAGAUACAUUUCACUACGCUUUACAUGGCGGACCUUGGGACACGAGCGGAGCUGCUGGGAGAAGGAGCGUAAAGCCUCUGCGGAGGAGAGAGCCUUGUCACGUUCAAUCCAAUAAAAAAAAAAUUAAAAUCCUGACCCCCUCGAAGUUUAAUUUAAGACCCUAAAUUUUCUGUUCAAAUGUAUAUUUUUAAUGGAAGUGGACUUUCUGUGCUCCCAGGGAAACCACCUACAGUAACCAAGUACGCAUUCAGAUUGGCUUAGAGAAAAAUUGUCAACAAAUGCCCUGAUUGGUCGAGAACGAAAUUUUCCCUUGUUACACUCACAGUACAUUGUUUCUGAUAAAAGAUUGCUGUUGGUGCUUUGAAUAUUAAUAUAUAAUAAAUAACUAAGGGUGU